GCGUGUGUGAUGAAGGCCUUAGGGUUGUAAAGCACUUUCACUGGUGAAGAUGAUGACGGUAGCCAGAGAAGAAGCCCCGGCUAACUCCGUGCCAGCAGCCGCGGUAAUACGGAGGGGGCAAGCGUUGUUCGGAAUUACUGGGCGUAAAGGGCGUGUAGGCGGCGGUUUUAGUCAGGCGUGAAAGCCCGGGGCUCAACCUCGGAAUAGCGCUUGAUACUGAACUGCUUGAGACCGGAAGAGGGUAGUGGAAUUCCCAGUGUAGAGGUGAAAUUCGU
This 275-nucleotide ribosomal RNA is filed under the name uncultured bacterium. RNAcentral describes it as "partial 16S ribosomal RNA". It matches the Rfam family "Bacterial small subunit ribosomal RNA", at positions 399 to 691 of the family's 1533-position model. The record is from RNAcentral.